GCCUCUGAGGAGUUUCUCACCAAAAGUUUUUCUCCUCCAGCCAGUUGCAGGGAACAUGAAAGGAAGGGGAAGCCCAGCCCGGCGCCGAGCAGGGAAUUCCCUACGGGAGCGAUGCUGUGACUAGCCCCUUCGGGAGCAAUUCUGCCAGCGCCAUCCAGCUCCACGCUCUCCAACUUUGCAGACCCGGCAAUCCCGCCAGCUCGGCAUGGAGACAAGGCAAAGGAGCCAGACUGCCUGCUUGACAGACGCGGAGGAGUUGCUGUGCGAUAGCUAAUGAAACAGUUUAAAGAAAACUCACACACCCCGUCCCCGAGAGGCUUGUUAUUUUCAGCGUGAAGCGGAGCCCACCCUCGCCGCCUCUGACCCCAGUGCACCCCUCUGCGUUGGACCCCGGCCGAGACCCUACAGCAGAGGGGAGCGGUGAGUCCCCCUGUGUCCACUGUGCCUUGGGGUGGCAUUUCUUUGCCUGCCGAGGUGAAGUGGGGAGGGACGGGGCGUCCCCAGAGCACCCUUAGCUGUGCUAGGGGGC
Long non-coding RNA from Chroicocephalus ridibundus (black-headed gull), 529 nucleotides. RefSeq lists it as uncharacterized. Lineage: Eukaryota; Metazoa; Chordata; Aves; Charadriiformes; Laridae. The transcript has 3 exons. The record is from RefSeq and is a predicted model, not a curated record.